GGGGCCAGAGUCUCCUGAGCAGAGUGACUCUGUGGGGUGCCGUUAGAAAAGGGGCUUUUUGGUUGUGAUGCUCAAGGUGUAAUGGGAGGAGAGUGGAGGGCGGAUCCCCGCCGUGUGGGAGAGGCAAACAGAGGAGCCUACGAGACGUUGCCGACUGAGAUGGUCACUUACUUGUUUUUUCCCCUUGUGCUGGGUUUAGUACCAAGGAAAAAGAAGUCAAGCCUCAGAGUCUCCUGCCCUCAUGCGACGGACAGUGAGUGAGAGCAGCGAGCCUGUGACCGUUGGUGGUGCCAGGCAAGAGCCCUCCAUCUGGGAGCCGAGCAAUCGCCAGUCUCGGUGAGGACACGGGUAGGUGUGCAUUCCCACAGGUGAGGUCUCGGGAGCCAUGGAGAAGUC
Chelonia mydas (Green sea turtle) is the source of this 396-nucleotide long non-coding RNA. RefSeq lists it as uncharacterized. The transcript has 2 exons. NCBI's taxonomy places the organism in Eukaryota, Metazoa, Chordata, Testudines, Cheloniidae. The record is from RefSeq and is a predicted model, not a curated record.